Molecule: ribosomal RNA, 434 nt
Filed under: uncultured bacterium
Lineage: Bacteria
Description: partial 16S ribosomal RNA
Rfam family: Bacterial small subunit ribosomal RNA
Source: RNAcentral
GAACGAACGCUGGCGGCAUGCCUAACACAUGCAAGUCGAACGAGACCUUCGGGUCUAGUGGCGCACGGGUGCGUAACGCGUGGGAACCUGCCCUUAGGUUCGGAAUAACUCUCCGAAGGGGGUGCUAAUACCGGAUAUUGUCUUCGGCCCAAAGAUUUAUCGCCUGUGUAUGGUCCCGCGUAGGAUUAGCUAGUUGGUAGGGUAAAAGCCUACCAAGGCGACGAUCCAUAGCUGGUCUGAGAGGAUGAUCAGCCACACUGGGACUGAGACACGGCCCAGACUCCUGCGGGAGGCAGCAGUGGGGAAUAUUGGACAAUGGGCGAAAGCCUGAUCCAGCAAUGCCGCGUGAGUGAUGAAGGACUUAGGGUUGUAAAGCUCUUUUACCCGGGAUGAUAAUGACAGUACCGUGAGAAUAAGCUCCGGCUAACUCCGUG